Long non-coding RNA from Labrus bergylta (ballan wrasse), 201 nucleotides. RefSeq lists it as uncharacterized. NCBI's taxonomy places the organism in Eukaryota, Metazoa, Chordata, Actinopteri, Labriformes, Labridae. The record is from RefSeq and is a predicted model, not a curated record.
AUACAGAUAAGGAGCUGAGAAACCUCUUUGAAAAACUGGAGACAGAAACAUGUGAGACAGUAGACAUCACAAACAGUUUUGACAUUACAGACGUGCAUCAACAACGUGAUGCUGCUGAAUGCCUGGAAAUGAUUUUACACAAAGUCAGCCCACAGGCCUCCCAGGUUUUCAAAGGACAGCUGAAAUACUCGACAACAUGCU